This 496-nucleotide ribosomal RNA is filed under the name uncultured bacterium. Its description in RNAcentral is "bacterial SSU rRNA". It matches the Rfam family "Bacterial small subunit ribosomal RNA", at positions 21 to 507 of the family's 1533-position model. The record is from RNAcentral.
GGCUCAGGAUGAACGCUAGCUACAGGCUUAACACAUGCAAGUCGAGGGCAGCAUGAACUUAGCUUGCUAAGUUUGAUGGCGACCGGCGCACGGGUGAGUAACGCGUAUCCAACCUGCCCACCACUUGGGGAUAACCUUGCGAAAGUAAGACUAAUACCCAAUGACGUCUCUAGAAGACAUCUGAAAGAGAUUAAAGAUUUAUCGGUGAUGGAUGGGGAUGCGUCUGAUUAGCUUGUUGGCGGGGUAACGGCCCACCAAGGCGACGAUCAGUAGGGGUUCUGAGAGGAAGGUCCCCCACAUUGGAACUGAGACACGGUCCAAACUCCUACGGGAGGCAGCAGUGAGGAAUAUUGGUCAAUGGACGAGAGUCUGAACCAGCCAAGUAGCGUGCAGGAUGACGGCCCUAUGGGUUGUAAACUGCUUUUAUAAGGGAAUAAAGUGAGUCUCGUGAGACUUUUUGCAUGUACCUUAUGAAUAAGGACCGGCUAAUUCCGUG